AAUCAACGCUGGCGGCGUGCCUAACACAUGCAAGUCGAGCGCGAAAGUGGGCUUCGGCCCGCGAGUAGAGCGGCGAACGGGUGAGUAACGCGUGGGUGAUCUACCUUCGAGUGGGGAAUAACACCGGGAAACUGGUGCUAAUACCGCAUGACAUCCUCGGUUCGUUCCGAGGAUCAAAGCCGGGGACCGCAAGGCCUGGCGCUUGAAGAGGAGCCCGCGUCCGAUUAGCUUGUUGGCGGGGUAAUGGCCCACCAAGGCUUCGAUCGGUAGCCGGCCUGAGAGGGCGGACGGCCACACUGGGACUGAGACACGGCCCAGACUCCUACGGGAGGCAGCAGUGGGGAAUUUUCCGCAAUGGGGGAAACCCUGACGGAGCAACGCCGCGUGGAGGAUGAAGGCCUUCGGGUCGUAAACUCCUGUCGAUCGGGAAGAAUGCACACGGCCCAAUACGUCGUUGUGUUGACUGUACCGGUGGAGGAAGCCACGGCUAACUCUGUG
RNAcentral lists this ribosomal RNA (498 nucleotides) under uncultured bacterium. Its description in RNAcentral is "bacterial SSU rRNA". It matches the Rfam family "Bacterial small subunit ribosomal RNA", at positions 28 to 507 of the family's 1533-position model. The record is from RNAcentral.